This 501-nucleotide ribosomal RNA is filed under the name uncultured bacterium. Its description in RNAcentral is "partial 16S ribosomal RNA". It matches the Rfam family "Bacterial small subunit ribosomal RNA", at positions 30 to 523 of the family's 1533-position model. The record is from RNAcentral.
AUUGAACGCUGGCGGCAGGCUUAACACAUGCAAGUCGAGCGGGGGAAGGUAGCUUGCUACCGGACCUAGCGGCGGACGGGUGAGUAAUGCUUAGGAAUCUGCCUAUUAGUGGGGGACAACAUCUCGAAAGGGAUGCUAAUACCGCAUACGUCCUACGGGAGAAAGCAGGGGAUCUUCGGACCUUGCGCUAAUAGAUGAGCCUAAGUCGGAUUAGCUAGUUGGUGGGGCAAAGGCCUACCAAGGCGACGAUCUGUAGCGGGUCUGAGAGGAUGAUCCGACACACUGGGACUGAGACACGGCCCAGACUGCUACGGGAGGCAGCAGUGGGGAAUAUUGGACAAUGGGGGGAACCCUGAUCCAGCCAUGCCGCGUGUGUGAAGAAGGCCUUAUGGUUGUAAAGCACUUUAAGCGAGGAGGAGGCUCUUUUGGUUAAUACCCAAGAUGAGUGGACGUUACUCGCAGAAUAAGCACCGGCUAACUCUGUGCCAGCCGCCGCGGUAA